UUUCACCCCAAAAUGUAAUCCCCAAAAUUAAUUAAUUUUGCACCCCCAUUCCUGAGAGCCAUUACCCCAUUUUCUCCCUUUUUCAUCCCAAAAGACAAUCCCAAAAAUUAAUUAAUUUUGCACCCUUACACCUGAGAGCAAUUGGCCCAAUUUCCUCCUUUUUCACCCCAAAAUGUAACCCCACAAAUUAGUUAAUUUUGUACACCUUUACCUGAGAGCGAUUGUCCCAUUUUCCCACUUUUUCACCCCAAAAUGUAAUCCCCAAAAUUAAUUAAUUUUGCACCCCUAUUCCUGAGAGCCAUCACCCCAUUUUCACCCUUUUUUACCCCAAAAGACAAUUUCCAAAAUUAAUUAAUUUUGUACCUCUACACCUGAGAGCAAUUGGCCCAAAUUCUUCCUUUUUCAACCCCAAAAUUCGAGCCCCCCAACCACUUAAUUUUGCACCCCCACCCCAUGCAGCAAUGACCCCAAUUUCCCCUUUUUUCACCCCAAAACAGAAUCCCGACAAUGAGUUAAUUUCUGUCCCCCCCUACCCUGCAGCGAUCGGCCCAAUUUCCUCCUUUUUCAACCCAAAAGCCCCUCCCACCAGCUGUUAACCCCUCUCCUGCCGGCCCAGCAGCAAUCGACCCAUUUCCCCCCUUUUUCACCCCAAAACACAAUCCCCCAAACUAGUUAAUUUUGCACCACCCCGUUGCAGCAAUCGCCCCGAUUUCUCCUCUUUUCACCCCAAAACACAAUCCUGAAAAUUAGCAAAUUUUGCCCCUCCUCUACCUGAGGGCGAUCGGCCCAAUUUCCUCCUUUUUCACCCCAAAACGCCUUCCCACAAAUAGUUAAUCCCGCUCCCUGCCUGCCCAGCGGCAAUCAGCCCCAUUUUCCUCCUUUUUCCCCCCAAAAACACCCCUCCCUCCGCUUAACACCCCAGGCCGCUCCCCGCCAGCGAUUGACCCGUUUUUGCCCUUUUUCACCCCAAAACCAACGGGGAUGGACCCACGAGAGCCCCAGCAGCUCCCUGGCACCCGCAGGCCCCAAUCCGGGCGUUUUUUCACC
This 1047-nucleotide long non-coding RNA is filed under the name Anas platyrhynchos platyrhynchos (common mallard). RNAcentral's name for it is "lncRNA (ENSAPLG00000017910.1)". The record is from RNAcentral. Lineage: Eukaryota; Metazoa; Chordata; Aves; Anseriformes; Anatidae.